Molecule: small RNA, 1548 nt
Filed under: Pongo abelii (Sumatran orangutan)
Lineage: Eukaryota; Metazoa; Chordata; Mammalia; Primates; Hominidae
Description: retained intron
Source: RNAcentral
GUGAGCCCGCUAUCCGCGGCCAGCGCGGGCGCGGCCGGAGACCGUGGGGCCCGGGUUGCCGCCCCCUCAGGAGCCACCAUGUUGGUGAUACCUCCCGGACUGAGCGAGGAAGAGGAGGCUCUGCAGAAGAAAUUCAACAAACUCAAGAAAAAGAAAAAGGCAUUGCUGGCUCUGAAGAAGCAAAGUAGCAGCAGCACAGCCAGCCAAGGUGGUGUCAAACGCUCACUAUCAGAGCAGCCUGUCGUGGACACAGCCACAGCAACAGAGCAGGCAAAGCAGCUGGUGAAGUCAGGAGCCAUCAGCGCCAUCAAGGCUGAGACCAAGAACUCAGGCUUCAAGCGUUCUCGAACCCUUGAGGGGAAGUUAAAGGACCCUGAGAAGGGACCAGUCCCCACUUUCCAGCCGUUCCAGAGGAGCAUAUCUGCUGAUGAUGACCUGCAAGAGUCGUCCAGACGUCCCCAGAGGAAAUCUCUGUAUGAGAGCUUUGUGUCUUCUAGUGAUCGACUUCGAGAACUAGGGCCAGAUGGAGAAGAGACAGAGGGCCCAGGGGCUGGCGAUGGUCCCCCUCGAAGCUUUGACUGGGGCUAUGAAGAACGCAGUGGUGCCCACUCCUCAGCCUCCCCUCCCCGAAGCCGCAGCCGGGACCGCAGCCAUGAGAGGAACCGGGACAGAGACCGAGAUCGGGAGCGGGAUCGAGACCGGGAUCGAGACAGAGACAGAGAGCGGGACAGGGAUAGGGAUCGGGAUCGGGAUCGAGAUCGAGACCGGGAACGGGACAGGGAUCGGGAGCGGGAUCGAGACCGAGACCGAGAGGGUCCUUUCCGCAGGUCGGAUUCAUUCCCUGAACGGCGAGCCCCUAGGAAAGGGAAUACUCUCUAUGUAUACGGAGAAGACAUGACACCCACCCUUCUCCGUGGGGCCUUCUCUCCUUUUGGAAACAUCAUUGACCUCUCCAUGGACCCACCCAGAAACUGUGCCUUCGUCACCUAUGAAAAGAUGGAGUCAGCAGAUCAGGCCGUUGCUGAGGUUGGAACUUCCCAAAUCUGUUCUUUCCAUCGCUUCUGCUGUUCUCAUGUGUUCUCCUCAAAAUACUAGAUGCCAGGAAGAAGUUGGGUCCUCUUGAUAAAGAAAGCCUCUCCCUAUUCACACAGAAAAACUUACAUUCUCAGAUUCCUUAUUCGGUCUACUCCUAGGAUAGCAACUCCUGAAAUAACAUCUUUGGUUUAUCUGUAAUGUUUUCCUCCCCAUCCUCUGCCUCCCCUCUUCUGCUUCAGCUCAACGGGACCCAGGUGGAGUCUGUACAGCUCAAAGUCAACAUAGCCCGAAAACAGCCCAUGCUGGAUGCCGCUACUGGCAAGUCUGUCUGGGGCUCCCUCGCUGUCCAGAACAGCCCUAAGGGUUGCCACCGGGACAAGAGGACCCAGAUUGUCUACAGUGAUGACGUCUACAAGGAAAACCUUGUGGAUGGCUUCUAGGGAACAGAGCUGGAUUCCUUGUGCCUCAUAUGCCCCAAUGCUGGUCUCAGUAAAACACUGAGGUGGAAGUUUA